Molecule: unclassified non-coding RNA, 219 nt
Filed under: Hevea brasiliensis (rubber tree)
Lineage: Eukaryota; Viridiplantae; Streptophyta; Magnoliopsida; Malpighiales; Euphorbiaceae
Source: RNAcentral
AAUGAAGUUUAUUGUAUUCGGGUUCUUUGAAUUUAGAUUUUUUCAAUUAACCAGAGAGCUAAAUGAAAUGCAUGCUUGGCUUUAGAGAAAUCACAGUAAGCACAAUGUCCAAUUUGAGCCAUAGAGACUAUUUUUUAGUACAUGAUGUCAACUCAGUGAGUUAUUUCUUGAGAAUUGUUAUGGUUCUUCAUCGAUGUCCCACCAAAAUUGCUGCCUUAA